This 248-nucleotide long non-coding RNA is filed under the name Elaeis guineensis (African oil palm). RNAcentral describes it as "long non-coding RNA (EGUI_LNC009150)". The record is from RNAcentral. Lineage: Eukaryota; Viridiplantae; Streptophyta; Magnoliopsida; Arecales; Arecaceae.
GAUUGGUGUUGACCCAAUAUUUUUGAUAAUACGGUGGCACUGUCUUGCCUGUCAUCCAAAAAUGAUUGGUAUCUUCCUCUGAGUGGGGGAAUCUCCACUAUCGCUCGAUCAGCCAUCGAGUGCCUCGGAAGAGCACAUUGGCAAGAGGUUCUAUUUGGCAUGGGAGGUAUUAAAAAAGUCUACUGCUCCGAUGAGAGAGUCGGACUGACGAUCAUUGGAGGUUGCUUCAGCAUUGUUCUCCAUAAAAA